Long non-coding RNA from Sebastes umbrosus (honeycomb rockfish), 755 nucleotides. RefSeq lists it as uncharacterized. NCBI's taxonomy places the organism in Eukaryota, Metazoa, Chordata, Actinopteri, Perciformes, Sebastidae. The record is from RefSeq and is a predicted model, not a curated record. The transcript is spliced from 5 exons.
GUUCAGAUAUUAACGUUAAAGGUUUGUGUGUUUCUUGAUGUCGCCGACGGUUUCUGGUUUCUAUGCAACGGGGGACGCCUGAAGGACCACUGACGUCAUGGCUCCAAGGUGUCCUUAACAGGUGCCUGUCAAGAAUUGUUAAAAACAGAGAUCAUAGGUAACAUUAUUCAGCCGCAUCUAAAAUGAGGGGUGAGAUGAAUUCCGAGUGACGCAGUCCAAAGGAGAAGCUUGGAGCUUUGGCUCUUGUGAAGGUCACCUAGGAAGAGGAAAAAUGAUAGUGUGCACCAGGACCUGGUUUCUUUGUGGUUUCACCGGGUGGGAAGUUGCGUCCUGUCAUGCUAAACCGGGGAGCUUUUUGCCUAUAAAGACAAGGGUCCACAACUCUGUAGGCAGAAGGGCCAGGAGUCUGGAGGGUAAAUAAAAGUAUUGAAAACAGGUCUUCAUCGAAGCUUCCAGUUUUGCUGCGGCCACAGAAUGAGUAGGAGCGAGCUGUAGAUGACACCACAGUGUUGUGCCCCAGCACUGGGGGCAGAGAGUAGGAGGCUGGACCUGCAGUAUGAGUGACAAGGGAGACAGAGAAUAAGCAGGAGCAGAGCGGAAGAUCGACUUUCCUGAAUGCUCUGGAGAGUAUUCGCCUGAAACACCAAAGAAAGUUACAUAAAAACACUGCUGACAGGUAAACUCAAAUGACAAUAGUGUGCAUCAUGACCGAAAGUGGCAUAUUGUCAGCCUUCAGUAAAUAGUCUGAGAUUUCA